UUGUGGAAAACGCGCCAGAACUUGGACAGCUUUUGUGCUGGUGAAGGAGAGAGAGUCGGUUAACACUGCGUGUACUGAUCGUGCCCCGUGCUGCUCUUUAUAGACCAUUAAAGUGCAGAUCCUUCCUGAAGCCUGGUGUGAC
This is a long non-coding RNA of Anguilla anguilla (European eel), 142 nucleotides long. RefSeq lists it as uncharacterized. NCBI's taxonomy places the organism in Eukaryota, Metazoa, Chordata, Actinopteri, Anguilliformes, Anguillidae. The transcript has 3 exons. The record is from RefSeq and is a predicted model, not a curated record.